RNAcentral lists this small RNA (28 nucleotides) under Bombyx mori (domestic silkworm). RNAcentral's name for it is "ovarian small RNA-6851". Lineage: Eukaryota; Metazoa; Arthropoda; Insecta; Lepidoptera; Bombycidae. The record is from RNAcentral.
UCACCCAAUUCACAAGAGCCGGGCGAAU